AGUAACGCGUGGGUAACCUGCCUCAUACAGGGGGAUAACAGUUGGAAACGGCUGCUAAUACCGCAUAAGCGCACAGUACCGCAUGGUACGGUGUGAAAAACUCCGGUGGUAUGAGAUGGACCCGCGUCUGAUUAGCUGGUUGGUGAGGUAACGGCUCACCAAGGCGACGAUCAGUAGCCGGCUUGAGAGAGUGAACGGCCACAUUGGGACUGAGACACGGCCCAG
RNAcentral lists this ribosomal RNA (225 nucleotides) under uncultured bacterium. RNAcentral's name for it is "partial 16S ribosomal RNA". It matches the Rfam family "Bacterial small subunit ribosomal RNA", at positions 109 to 334 of the family's 1533-position model. The record is from RNAcentral.